Molecule: long non-coding RNA, 1283 nt
Filed under: Olea europaea subsp. europaea
Lineage: Eukaryota; Viridiplantae; Streptophyta; Magnoliopsida; Lamiales; Oleaceae
Source: RNAcentral
CAUCAAUCGAUCCAGCAGAUGGAAAAGCUGGUUCUGGAGAUGAAAUUUCGAUGGUGAAUCGAUUGAUUACUGAUCCAAACAGCCCAUACUAUCUGCAUUAUGGUGAUAACACUGGAAUGCAACUUAUUUCAAUUGAGCUCACUGAAGAGAAUUAUGCGACGUGGAGUUGUGCAGUCAUCAUGGCACUAAAUGCCAAAAAUAAGGAGGGGUUCGUUGAUGGAUCAUUCACUAAACCACAUCAGAAGGAUCCUUUUUACGGUGCUUGGAGGAGAUGUAAUCAUGUGGUUUCCUCAUAGAUGAUUCAUGCCAUUUCAAAGGAGCUUUACCCAAGUGUGAUGCACAAUGAUUCCGCAAGAGAAAUCUAGAUUGAACUUAGGGAUCGCCACAGUCAAGGUAAUGGUCCUAGAUUCUAUGAAAUUAAGAAGCAAAUUGCUUCCAUCUCUCAGUCAAACAACUCCGUAAACUCCUAUUUUAACAUACUCAAAAGAACUUUGGGAGAAACUUGAGAAUUAUAGACCAAAUGUUAGUGGUACUGACUACAAAUCUGAGGAUCAGAUCAUGCAAUUUCUGAUGGAGCUAGAUGAUCAAUUUUCACAUGUGAGCAAUCAGAUCCUACUGAUGGAUCCCAUGCGUUCACUCAAUAAGGUUUUUGCUCUAAUUCUACAAGAUGAAAGGCAAAAGGAGGUGGUGGCUAAGAAACAAAAGAAUUUUGAUGCUACUGCCUUUGUUGGUAAGAUGGUUCACAAUUCAAUUGGUAACCAAAGAGCAAGCUCGUUUAAUCAGCUUCAAAGAAAAGAUAAACCGAUAUGUAGUCAUUGUGGGAUGGUAGGACAUCUUAAGAGUAAGUGCUAUAACUUGAUUGGUUAUCAUCUGGGUCACAGGCUAGCUAAAGGAAAAGCUCCAGUUGCCAAUGCUAUUGGUCCAAUUGCCAAUUCUGGCUCAGACAUUGUUAAUUUCUUGUCAAACAUCACUAUCACAAGAAGACAAUGCCAGCAAAUUUGGCCAUGUUAGCUCCACAGUUGAAAGGGAAAACUUCUGCUAGUCAUCAACAGUCUUAGGAAGUGAUUUCAUCAUCAUCUUAAAUGCCAGUUAAUGAUUCCAUAGUUGGAGAUAAGUGGAUUUUGGACACUGGAGCCUCAGAGUACAUGGUGUGCUCAAUUAAGCAUCUGAUGACUGUAAAUGCAAGAAUUAAAGCUAUUGUGAGACUGCCUAAUGGUGACAGUGCUUUAGCCACACAUAUUGGGACAAUAAAGUUGUUCAAUACCUUGAUACUGACAAAUGUU